This is a non-coding RNA of Triticum aestivum (bread wheat), 135 nucleotides long. Lineage: Eukaryota; Viridiplantae; Streptophyta; Magnoliopsida; Poales; Poaceae. The record is from Rfam.
AAGGUACUCCCUCCGUCCUAAAAUUCUUGUCUUAGAUUUGUCUAGAUACGGAUGUAUCUAACACUAAAACGUGACUUGAUACAACCGCAUUUAGACAAAUCUAAGACAAGAAUUUUGGGAUGGAGGGAGUAGAAA